AGGAUUUUUAACGUGAUGAAAUAACAAUGCAACAUAGAGUCAAGCUCUGAGCUUAUAUAGCAUGGACGAGACUUGCUUUUUACAAACGUACUGAUCAAAUUUCC
Small nucleolar RNA from Kluyveromyces lactis, 104 nucleotides. It matches the Rfam family "Small nucleolar RNA snR66". Rfam says of the family: snR66 is a member of the C/D class of snoRNA which contain the C (UGAUGA) and D (CUGA) box motifs. The record is from Rfam. Lineage: Eukaryota; Fungi; Ascomycota; Saccharomycetes; Saccharomycetales; Saccharomycetaceae.